This 405-nucleotide long non-coding RNA is filed under the name Elaeis guineensis (African oil palm). RNAcentral's name for it is "long non-coding RNA (EGUI_LNC001497)". The record is from RNAcentral. Lineage: Eukaryota; Viridiplantae; Streptophyta; Magnoliopsida; Arecales; Arecaceae.
UCCCUCCAUAUCAUGCCUUACAUGCCCUGCAUCUUCUUGAUGUAUCUCUGGUUCUGUCAUAUUAGUUGGCACAUCAUCAAUUGCUCUCCCUCCCACAUCUCCUUCUUCCACUUCAUGCUUCACAUACAGUUGAAUAACAUCACCAGCAUACACAUUAACUAUAUAAAGCACAUCUGCGUCAUUCUUUAAAACCUUAAGACCAUGUGCCAGUGUGCUCCAAGGAACGGUAUAGUAUACAUCCCUAACAUUGUAAUACCGAAGAUCAUUAUUGAUUGUACUAAUGACCUCUUGAUAUGAUAUAUAAUCAGGACCUAUAGCUACCAAAUCCUCUCUACCCCCAUCAUAAAACCUCAGAUUGUUCUUGGCAACAAAUCUCCCUCGGAAGUUUAACUCUAUUUUAUUAUC